RNAcentral lists this ribosomal RNA (241 nucleotides) under Clostridioides difficile. RNAcentral's name for it is "partial 16S ribosomal RNA". It matches the Rfam family "Bacterial small subunit ribosomal RNA", at positions 290 to 548 of the family's 1533-position model. Lineage: Bacteria; Bacillati; Bacillota; Clostridia; Peptostreptococcales; Peptostreptococcaceae. The record is from RNAcentral.
ACCUGAGAGGGUGAUCGGCCACAUUGGAACUGAGACACGGUCCAAACUCCUACGGGAGGCAGCAGUGGGGAAUAUUGCACAAUGGGCGAAAGCCUGAUGCAGCAACGCCGCGUGAGUGAUGAAGGCCGUCGGGUCGUAAAACUCUGUCCUCAAGGAAGAUAAUGACGGUACUUGAGGAGGAAGCCCCGGCUAACUACGUGCCAGCAGCCGCGGUAAUACGUAGGGGGCUAGCGUUAUCCGG